AGAGUUCGAUCCUGGCUCAGAACGAACGCUGGCGGCAUGCCUAACACAUGCAAGUCGAACGCUAUCUUGUAUAGAGUGGCGCACGGGUGAGUAACGCGUGGGAACCUGCCUUUCUCUGCGGGACAACGGUUGGAAACGACCGCUAAUACCGCAUACGCCCUACGGGGGAAAGGUCAGCCGGAGAAAGAGGGGCCCGCGUUAGAUUAGCUAGUUGGUAGGGUAAUGGCCUACCAAGGCGACGAUCUAUAGCUGGUCUGAGAGGAUGAUCAGCCACACUGGGACUGAGACACGGCCCAGACUCCUACGGGAGGCAGCAGUGGGGAAUAUUGGACAAUGGGGGCAACCCUGAUCCAGCAAUGCCGCGUGUGUGAUGAAGGCCCUAGGGUUGUAAAGCACUUUCACUGGUGAAGAUGAUGACGGUAACCAGAGAAGAAGCCCCGGCUAACUUCGUGCCAGCCGCCGCGGUAAUUC
Molecule: ribosomal RNA, 471 nt
Filed under: uncultured bacterium
Lineage: Bacteria
Description: bacterial SSU rRNA
Rfam family: Bacterial small subunit ribosomal RNA
Source: RNAcentral